GACGAACCACACAAACGUUAUUCGGAAUUACUGGGCUUAAAGGGUGCGUAGGCGGCGCGGAAAGUAGGGUGUGAAAUCCCUCGGCUCAACCGAGGAAUUGCGCCCUAAACUACCGUGCUCGAGGGAGAUAGAGGUGAGCGGAACUUAGGGUGGAGCGGUGAAAUGCGUUGAUAUCCUAAGGAACACCGGUGGCGAAAGCGGCUCACUGGAUCUCUUCUGACACUGAGGCACGAAAGCUAGGGUAGCGAACG
RNAcentral lists this ribosomal RNA (251 nucleotides) under uncultured prokaryote. Its description in RNAcentral is "partial 16S ribosomal RNA". It matches the Rfam family "Bacterial small subunit ribosomal RNA", at positions 524 to 774 of the family's 1533-position model. The record is from RNAcentral.